This 18-nucleotide non-coding RNA is filed under the name Xenopus tropicalis (tropical clawed frog). Lineage: Eukaryota; Metazoa; Chordata; Amphibia; Anura; Pipidae. RNAcentral also lists the same sequence under 2 other names. The record is from RNAcentral.
CGUUCGCGCUCUCCCCUG